Bos taurus (domestic cattle) is the source of this 2282-nucleotide long non-coding RNA. NCBI's taxonomy places the organism in Eukaryota, Metazoa, Chordata, Mammalia, Artiodactyla, Bovidae. The record is from Ensembl.
GUGUGCAGGGCCUGGGGGUUGUGUCAAGGAGCUUCAUUCCCCCGAGGUUCCAGUGAAACCGGAGGAGGGCCCAGGGUGGGAGAGACGUCAGGAGCAUCCGGUGAAGGGCGCCCGGCUCACCUGUCGGCUCAGGGGCUCCUCGAGUUCUCGGUGAACCCCGGGCGCUCUGUCUCAGACUUUCCUGCACAGCAAGCAGCGCUUGCGUCUUCGAUCCUAACCAAAGACCCUCAUGGAAUUCAGAGAAACUUUUUACCGUGUGAAACCAAAACUUCAGCUACUGUCAUUUUCCAACGCUCUUAGCUGGUGAUGUCAGAAGAAUCUUACAGGAAACACGCAGACGCCUGAAACCCGUAUCUUACCAUCAUCAUUCGGUACUUCUUACACAUCUGUCCACCCUUCCAUUCACCCACCGAUCUUGAUUUUUUAAAGAUCAUUUUAUUUAUUUUUGGCAGUGCUGGCUCUUGGUUGCAGAGGGCGGGGCUCCUCUCCAGUUGCGGUGCAUGGGCUUCUCGGUGCUGCGGCCCGCCUCGCUGAGGAGCACAUGCUCUGGGGCUCGGGGGCUUCAGCAGUUGCGGCCCCCAGGCUCUAGAGCACUGGCUCGGUGGUUAGGACUCCAGGCUUAGCUGCUCCACGGCAUGUGGGAUCUUCCUGGAUCAGGAUUGUGACCCCGUGUCUCCUGCAUUGGCACGUGGAUUCUUUACCCACUGAGUCACCAGGGAAGCCUCAUCUAUUACAAAAAUACUUUAAUAAAGUAAACUGCAGUCACCAGGAAACUUCCCCCUAAGAUUUUCAGCUUGCAUACAUUUUGCUAGAGGUGAAUAUUAAUUCACAGUUUGUUCCUUUGAUGUAAAAUUUACAAGGAAAUGCACACAUCUUUGGGUACAGUCUCCACUCUGCGUGACAGGCAUUCUGCCCCUGCAACCCCAAACCCAGCUGAGAUAGAACGUUACCAUCACCCCCAAAGUCUCCUUGUACCCCUUUCCAGACAAUCCCCGCUGCUAAGGAGACAGUAACUAUUGCUCUGAUCUGUAUGUUGCUGCAUAGUAUCCCUUUGUAGGGGUGUACCGGUUUAUUUUUCCUGUUGAUGAAUAUCUGGGCUGUUUCCAGUUUGGGGUUAUUAUGGAUAAAGCUGGUUAUGAGCACUCCUUUGUAUUUGCAUAGCUCUACAGAAUGACUUGAUCCUGGGCUAGAAUUCGAGUUAGGUUCCAAGAGUGCAGGAAGCAGCACAUAGUGGAAAGUACAGUAAGCCUCCUACGUGCAAACGAGCUCCAUUCUGAGAGCACAUCUAUUAAGUCCAACUUGUUCCUAAGGCCAACAGAGUUAGCCUAGGUACCAGCUACCACAGUCAGCUAUAUACUGCUGCUUUUACAUCUGCUUCUGGACACCCUGGGCUUGAAAUGAAGAUACUGUGCUGCUUUACUUUGGACAACACCGUACAGCAAGUACACAGCACAGCCACUUGCAGCGGACGCACGCGGGUGACGGCGCACACCAGACACGAGAGCGCGGCGGACGCACGCGGGUGACGGCGCACACCAGACACGAGAGCGCGGCGGACGCACGCGGGUGGCGGCGCACACCAGACACGAGAGCUGACAGGCAACUGGACGUGAGAGUGCAACUUCACAUCUGUGAAAAUUCAAAACUUGAAGUACACACAGAAAUCACCUGGAUGCCCACUGGCAGACGAGUGGAUAAAGGACAUGUGCGCAUCUGUGCAAUGGAAUAUUACUCAUCCAGAAAAAAAGAACGAAACGAUGCCAAGUGCAGCACCACGGAUGGACCUCGGGAUUAUUGUGCUAAGUGAAGUCAGAGAAAGACAAACACCCAUAUCACAUGUGGAUUCUAAACUACGACACAAACGAAGCUACCUAUGACAUGGAAAUAGACUCACAGACACAGAGAACAGACUGCUGUUGCCAAAGAGGGGCAGCGGAGGGAUGGAGUGGGAGGCUGGGUCAGCAGAUGUGACCUACUUAUACGGGAGGGACAAAGUCCUACUGCAGAGCACAGGGCACUAUAUUCAGUAACCCGUGGUAAACCACAGUGGAAAAGAAUAUGAAGAAGAAUGUCUGUAUUUUUAUAACUGAGUCACUGCUGUACAGCAGAAAUUAACAUUGUGAAGCAAGUACACUUCAAAAAAUGGAUAAGAAAACAAUUCUGGAGACUGGUUGCACAAUGAUGUGAUGGUACUUAACACUACUGAACUAUAUGCUUGAAAGUGGUUAAUUUUAUGAUAUGCGUAUUUUAUCACAAUUAAUAAAAACAAAACAACAAAAGAA